Molecule: ribosomal RNA, 528 nt
Filed under: Triticum aestivum (bread wheat)
Lineage: Eukaryota; Viridiplantae; Streptophyta; Magnoliopsida; Poales; Poaceae
Description: partial small subunit ribosomal RNA
Source: RNAcentral
CCCGCUGAGUCGUCGAGUCCACCUACUCCCUCUCCUGCUAUAGCUGACCCGCCGAGCGCACCCGCCUCCCCUGGGUCUCCUCCGGCCACAUCCUCCCCUCCUGUUGUCAUCCACCAUCCACCCUCCCCUAGCAACACCCAUAGGAUGCUGACUCGCGCCAAGCGCGGUCUCUUCCAGCCCAUCGAUCGCAUGAACCUCCUGGUUUCCGACUCCUCCGUCUCUCCACUUCCCAAAACAUACCGGGGUGCUCUAAACGACCCACACUGGCGUCGUGCCAUGCAUGAUGAGUUCGAGGCGCUUGUCACUAACCGGACGUGGUCACUUGUUCCACGCCCACCACGUUCUCAUGUUGUUUCAGGGAAAUGGAUCUUCAAGCAUAAAUUCCAUUCGGAUGGACGGCUGGCUCGGUAUAAGGCUCGGUGGGUGGUCCGUGGCUACUCCCAACAGCCGGGCAUCGACUUCGACGAGACGUUCAGCCCGGUUGUCAAACCGGCCACCAUCCGCAUCGUCCUCACCAUCACCGUCUCC